GACGGAGGGGGCAAGCGUUGUCCGGACUCACUGGGCGUAAAGGGUGCGCAGGCGGUGCGGAGCGUCGCCACUGAAAGCGCCCGGCUUAACCGGGCGAGGCGUGGCGAUACGACCGUGCUCGAGGCUCUGAGAGGGUGGCGGAACUCCUGGUGUAGUGGCGAAAUGCGUAGAGAUCAGGAAGAACACCCGUGGCGCAAGCGGCCACCUGGCAGAGACCUGACGCUGAGGAAAGAGAGCGUGGGGAGCGAACCGG
Molecule: ribosomal RNA, 253 nt
Filed under: uncultured bacterium
Lineage: Bacteria
Description: partial 16S ribosomal RNA
Rfam family: Bacterial small subunit ribosomal RNA
Source: RNAcentral